UGGAAUGAAUGGUUGGAUGAAAAAUUUACUUUCUUUAUUUUAAAAAUAAAAAUUAAUUAUUGGCUUAAAAAGUCUAAAUUUUAUUAAAGGACGAGAAGACCCUAUAGAACUUUACUUUUUUUUAUGUAAUUAUUUAUUUGAAAAUAAUUAGUUUUUAUUUAUUAAAAAGUUUUGUUGGGGUGACAAAAAAAAAUUAAUAACUUUUUUUAUUUUUAUCAUUUAUAUAUGAUUUUGUUUGAUCCUUUAUUAUGGAUAAUAAGAUUUAGUUACCUUAGGGAUAACAGCGUUAUUAUUUCAGAGAGUUCAUAUUUAUGAAAUAGUUUGCCACCUCGAUGUUGGAU
RNAcentral lists this ribosomal RNA (341 nucleotides) under Psallus ulmi. RNAcentral describes it as "partial 16S ribosomal RNA". Lineage: Eukaryota; Metazoa; Arthropoda; Insecta; Hemiptera; Miridae. The record is from RNAcentral.